This 460-nucleotide ribosomal RNA is filed under the name uncultured bacterium. RNAcentral describes it as "partial 16S ribosomal RNA". It matches the Rfam family "Bacterial small subunit ribosomal RNA", at positions 338 to 795 of the family's 1533-position model. The record is from RNAcentral.
CCUACGGGUGGCUGCAGUGAGGAAUAUUGGUCAAUGGCCGGAAGGCUGAACCAGCGAUGCCGCGUGAAGGUCAGUGCCCUAUGGGCGUUAAACUUCUUUUGUGCGGGAGCAAUAAUGGUCACGUGUGGCCAGACGAGAGUACCGUACGAAUAAGCAUCGGCUAACUCCGUGCCAGCAGCCGCGGUAAUACGGGGGAUGCAAGCGUUAGCCGGAUUUAUUGGGUUGAAAGGGUGCGUAGGCUGGGAGGUAAGUCAGCGGUGAAAUGCCCCCGCCCAACGGGGUGAAGGGCCAUUGAUACUGCGUGGCUGGAAUGCGGAUGCCGUGGGAGGAAUGUGUGGUGUAGCGGUGAAAUGCAUAGAUAUCACACAGAACACUGAUUGCGAAGGCAUCUCACGAAUCCGCGAUUGACGCUGAUGCACGAAGGCGAGGGUAUCAAACAGGAUUAGAUACCCCUGUAGUC